Molecule: ribosomal RNA, 468 nt
Filed under: uncultured bacterium
Lineage: Bacteria
Description: partial 16S ribosomal RNA
Rfam family: Bacterial small subunit ribosomal RNA
Source: RNAcentral
GACGAACGCUGGCGGCGUGCUUAACACAUGCAAGUCGAACGGAAAGGCCCUGCUUUUGUGGUGUUCUCGAUUGGCGAACGGGGGAGUAACACGUGAGUAACCUGCCCCUGACUUUGGGAUAACUUCAGGAAACUGGGGCUAAUACCGGAUAGGAGCUCCUGCUGCAUGGUGGGGGUUGGAAAGUUUCGGCGGUUCGGGAUGGACUCGCGGCUUAUCAGCUUGUUGGUGUGGUAGUGGCUUACCAAGGCUAUGACGGGUAGCCGGCCUGAGAGGGUUACCGGCCACAUUGGGACUGAGAUACGGCCCAGACUCCUACGGGAGGCAGCAGUGGGGAAUAUUGCACAAUGGGCGGAAGCCUGAUGCAGCAACGCCGCGUGCGGGAUGCCGGCCUUCGGGUUGUAAACCGCUUUCGCCUGUGACGAAGCGUGAGUGACGGUAAUGGGUAAAGAAGCACCGGCUAACUACGUG